GGGAUAAACGACAAAGUGGCCAUUGACGCGCUGAGAAAGACGCUCUGGUACAAUUAUACAAUAGCUAAUUUUGGUAACUCCACGCGAAGAGAAGAUUUUUUUUAAUGAAGGUCAGAAGAUAAUAAUAAUGGUGGGAAGGGAACAAUAUUCUGUGAUCUGAUAUUAGUAGAAAACGAAAGAAACGGUUAUGUUUUUAAAGCUUUUUUUUAAAGAAUCCAACACUCAAGAAAGCUGCCCACUGUCUUAGAUCGUUAACCAUCACAGAAGCUUUUAAGAUCACCGGGAGAGUAAGGCAAUUGGCAUCACGUCCAUGCUUCUUAU
RNAcentral lists this long non-coding RNA (321 nucleotides) under Brassica rapa (field mustard). RNAcentral describes it as "long non-coding RNA (BRAP_LNC002573)". The record is from RNAcentral. Lineage: Eukaryota; Viridiplantae; Streptophyta; Magnoliopsida; Brassicales; Brassicaceae.